RNAcentral lists this long non-coding RNA (344 nucleotides) under Coffea arabica (coffee). RNAcentral's name for it is "long non-coding RNA (CARA_LNC001495)". The record is from RNAcentral. Lineage: Eukaryota; Viridiplantae; Streptophyta; Magnoliopsida; Gentianales; Rubiaceae.
GAUUGGCCUGCGGGUCAUGCUACGAGAUCAGAUGUGAUUCUGACCCAGAAGCAUGCCUACCCGGAACCAUUACCGUCACGGCGACAAACUUCUGCCCUGCUAACCCUGCUCUGCCCAAUGAUAAUGGUGGGUGGUGCAAUCCUCCCCGCCAACACUUUGAUUUGGCAGAGCCUGCUUUCCUGCAAAUUGCCCAGUACCGCGCUGGAAUUGUUCCCGUCGCUUUCCAGAGGUAUAAAUAAUUUACCAAAAUGUAAAAAGGAGAAAACAAAAAAAAAAGGACGUAGUGGUAUCACGACGUAGUGGUAGUAGUGUUUUGGCUGAUAAAUGUUUCUGCGAUUCUUGAC